GAUGAACGCUGGCGGCGUGCCUAAUACAUGCAAGUCGAGCGAACAUACGAGGAGCUUGCUCCUCUGACGGUAGCGGCGGACGGGUGAGUAACACGUGGAUAACCUACCUAUAAGACUGGGAUAACUUCGGGAAACCUGAGCUAAUACCGGAUAAUAUAUUGAACCGCAGGGUUCAAUAGUGAAAGACUGGUUUGCUGUCACUUAUAGAUGGAUCCGCGCCGCAUUAGCUAGUUGGUAAGGUAACGGCUUACCAAGGCAACGAUGCGUAGCCGACAUGAGAGGGUGAUCGAGCACACUGGCAGUGAGAAACGGUCCAGACUCCUACGGGAGGAAGCAGUAGGGAAUCUUACGCAAUGGGCGAAAGCCUGACGGAGCAAAGCCGCGGGAGUGAUGAAGGUCUUCGGAUCGUAAAACUCUGUUAUUAGGGAAGAACAAAUGUGUAAGUAACUAUGAACGUAUUGACGGUACCUAAUCAGAAAGCCACGGCUAACUACGUG
This 497-nucleotide ribosomal RNA is filed under the name uncultured bacterium. RNAcentral describes it as "partial 16S ribosomal RNA". It matches the Rfam family "Bacterial small subunit ribosomal RNA", at positions 28 to 507 of the family's 1533-position model. The record is from RNAcentral.